GGAAGGAUCAUUAUUGAAUGAACUUGGUGUGGUUGUCGCUGGCCCUCUUGGGGGCAUGUGCACACCUACCAUUCUCAUCUCUCCACCUGUGCACCUCUUGUAGAUUUGGAAUUGAUUAUCCGAGGCAACUCGGUCGUGAGGACUGCUAGCACUUAGCCGGCUUUCUUUGCAAUUCCAGGUCUAUGUUUUUCAUAUACCCCAUUGUAUGUAACAGAAUGUAUCAUUGGGCCCUUGUGCCUAUAAACCUUAUACAACUUUCAGCAACGGAUCUCUUGGCUCUCGCAUCGAUGAAGAACGCAGCGAAAUGCGAUAAGUAAUGUGAAUUGCAGAAUUCAGUGAAUCAUCGAAUCUUUGAACGCACCUUGCGCUCCUUGGUAUUCCGAGGAGCAUGCCUGUUUGAGUGUCAUUAAAUUCUCAACCAUUAUCAACUUUUGCUGAUAAUGGCUUGGAUGUGGGGGUCUAUUUUGCUGGCUUCUCAGAUAGUCAGCUCCCCUUAAAUGCAUUAGCCGGUGCCCCGCGUGGACUGUCUAUUGGUGUGAUAAUUAUCUACGCUAUAGACAUCCGCAAUCAUAUGGGUUUGCGCUGCUUCUAACAGUCUGUUGAUUCAGACAAUACAUGACAAUUUGACCUCAAAUCAGGUAGGACUACCCGCUGAACUUAAGCAUAUCAAU
This 671-nucleotide ribosomal RNA is filed under the name Hebeloma populinum. RNAcentral describes it as "eukaryotic LSU rRNA". The stretch from base 253 to 406 matches the Rfam family "5.8S ribosomal RNA". The record is from RNAcentral. Lineage: Eukaryota; Fungi; Basidiomycota; Agaricomycetes; Agaricales; Hymenogastraceae.